UGUUCGCCGAGAGCACUGAACCAUCCUGUAUCUGAUGUGAGUGAGAGUCAUCCAGAGUCAGCCUGUUGGAAUUCAGAGGCAGCAGUAGAUCCCCUGGCCUUGGUAAUGAGUCCAUGCAGCUGGGCCCACGCAGCACCUCCAUCUCAGCCACUGUGGCCACUCCAUUUACAUGUCGAUUGCACCAAUGAUGAAGGCGGGCUAAUGUCCAAUGGCCAGGUUUGAUCUCGGCUGUACCCUUUCCAUCUUAUGAUGCAUCUUGUUCCACGACUGACACCUCCAGCCUCAUGUACCUCCCCCCACCCAAGAUCAUAAGGGCCCCAGUGGUAAGUGUAUUUGCACUGCAGUGGACUUGCUGCAGAGCUCUUUCCUAUUCCAGGCUCCACUCAAUCUUAGCAACCUUCUGUACCACCCAGUGUAUGGGCUGGAGCAAUAUUUCUAGAAUGUGUUGCCUUCAGAAUCAAAUAAGAUAUACCAAACACUGUGUUUCUUCUUUGUGGUAGGGGAUGCAAGAUGCAGCAAUUUGUAUUUUGCUU
Long non-coding RNA from Myotis lucifugus (little brown bat), 533 nucleotides. RefSeq lists it as uncharacterized. The transcript has 3 exons. Lineage: Eukaryota; Metazoa; Chordata; Mammalia; Chiroptera; Vespertilionidae. The record is from RefSeq and is a predicted model, not a curated record.